GAUGAACGCUGGCGGCGUGCCUAAUACAUGCAAGUCGAGCGAACAGACGAGGAGCUUGCUCCUCUGACGUUAGCGGCGGACGGGUGAGUAACACGUGGAUAACCUACCUAUAAGACUGGGAUAACUUCGGGAAACCGGAGCUAAUACCGGAUAAUAUAUUGAACCGCAUGGUUCAAUAGUGAAAGACGGUUUUGCUGUCACUUAUAGAUGGAUCCGCGCCGCAUUAGCUAGUUGGUAAGGUAACGGCUUACCAAGGCAACGAUGCGUAGCCGACCUGAGAGGGUAACCGGCACAAUGGAACUGAGGCACCGGUCCAAACUCUACGGGGGGCAAGAGGUAGGGAACUUCCCGAAAGGGGGGAAGGCCUGACGGAGCACCGCGGCGUGAGGAAUGAGGUUCUCGGAACCGAAAACCUCUUUUUUUGGGGAAAAACAAAUGUGUAAGUACCCAUCCCGGCUUGAACGGAACUAAAGCAGAAACCCCCGCCAACCUCCG
RNAcentral lists this ribosomal RNA (495 nucleotides) under uncultured bacterium. RNAcentral's name for it is "partial 16S ribosomal RNA". It matches the Rfam family "Bacterial small subunit ribosomal RNA", at positions 28 to 505 of the family's 1533-position model. The record is from RNAcentral.